GUAGUUAGCCGGGGCUUCCUCCUUGGCUACCGUCAUUUGUUUCGUCACCAAGGACAGAGGUUUACAACCCGAAAGCCUUCUUCCCUCACGCGGCGUUGCUGGGUCAGGCUUGCGCCCAUUGCCCAAUAUUCCCCACUGCUGCCUCCCGUAGGAGUCUGGACCGUGUCUCAGUUCCAGUGUGGCCGAUCAGCCUCUCAGCUCGGCUACCCAUCGUCGGCUUGGUGAGCCGUUACCUCACCAACUACCUAAUGGGACGCGAACCCCUCUCUCAGCGGAUUGCUCCUUUGACCUCUCCACGAUGUCAUGGUGUGGUCUUAUGCGGUAUUAGCACUUGUUUCCAGGUGUUAUCCCCCUCUGAAGGUCAGGUUGUUCACGCGUUACUCACCCGUUCGCCACUAAAAUUUAUCUUCCAUCCGAAAACUUCCGAUAAAUCUCCGUUCGACUUGCAUGUGUUAGGCACGCCGCCAGCGUUCGUCCUGAGCCAGAAUCAAACUCUGA
This 498-nucleotide ribosomal RNA is filed under the name uncultured bacterium. RNAcentral's name for it is "partial 16S ribosomal RNA". The record is from RNAcentral.